GCCUGGCUGGCUUAGUUGGUGGAGCGUGUGACUCUUGAUCUCAGGAUUGUGAGUUCAAGCCCCACAUUGGGUG
This 73-nucleotide transfer RNA is filed under the name Ailuropoda melanoleuca (giant panda). It matches the Rfam family "tRNA". Rfam says of the family: Transfer RNA (tRNA) molecules are approximately 80 nucleotides in length. Their secondary structure includes four short double-helical elements and three loops (D, anti-codon, and T loops). Lineage: Eukaryota; Metazoa; Chordata; Mammalia; Carnivora; Ursidae. The record is from Rfam by way of RNAcentral.